This 587-nucleotide ribosomal RNA is filed under the name uncultured bacterium. Its description in RNAcentral is "bacterial SSU rRNA". It matches the Rfam family "Bacterial small subunit ribosomal RNA", at positions 63 to 647 of the family's 1533-position model. The record is from RNAcentral.
CGAGGGGUAACAUUGGUGCUUGCACCAGAUGACGACCGGCGCACGGGUGCGUAACGCGUAUACAAUCUACCUUUUGCUAAGGGAUAGCCCAGAGAAAUUUGGAUUAAUACCUUAUAGUAUGUAGACUUCUCAUGAAGAUUACAUUAAAGAUUACGGCAAAAGAUGAGUAUGCGUCCUAUUAGUUUGUUGGUGUGGUAACGGCACACCAAGACUACGAUAGGUAGGGGCCCUGAGAGGGGGAUCCCCCACACUGGUACUGAGACACGGACCAGACUCCUACGGGAGGCAGCAGUGAGGAAUAUUGGACAAUGGAGGCAACUCUGAUCCAGCCAUGCCGCGUGCAGGAAGACUGCCCUAUGGGUUGUAAACUGCUUUUAUACAGGAAGAAACACUCCCUCGUGAGGGAGCUUGACGGUACUGUAAGAAUAAGGAUCGGCUAACUCCGUGCCAGCAGCCGCGGUAAUACGGAGGAUCCAAGCGUUAUCCGGAAUCAUUGGGUUUAAAGGGUCCGUAGGUGGAUAAUUAAGCCAGAGGUGAAAGUUUGCAGCUCAACUGUAAAAUUGCCUUUGAUACUGGUUAUCUUGAGU